UUGACCUCGAAUCAGGUAGGAAUACCCGCUGAACUUAAGCAUAUCAAUAAGCGGAGGAAAAGAAACCAACCGGGAUUACCUCAGUAACGGCGAGUGAAGCGGUAACAGCUCAAAUUUGAAAUCUGGCUCCUGCGGAGUCCGAGUUGUAAUUUGUAGAAGAUGCUUUGGGUUGUGGGUUCGGCCUAAGUUCCUUGGAACAGGACGUCAUAGAGGGUGAGAAUCCCGUAUGUGGCCGAGGCCCGCGCCUAUGUAAAGCUCUUUCAACGAGUCGAGUUGUUUGGGAAUGCAGCUCAAAAUGGGUGGUAAAUUUCAUCUAAAGCUAAAUAUGGGCCAGAACCGAUAGCGCACAAGUAGAGUGAUCGAAAGAUGAAAAGCACUUUGGAAAGAGAGUUAAACAGUACGUGAAAUUGUUGAAAGGGAAGCGCUUGCAACCAGACUUGGGCGCUGCCGAUCACCCUGAGUUCUCUCAGGUGCACUCGACAGCGCACAGGCCAGCAUCGGUUCGGGUGGCUGGAUAAAGGCCGUAGGAACGUAGCUCCCUCCGGGGAGUGUUAUAGCCUACGGUGCCAUGCAGCCCAGCCGGACCGAGGACCGCGCCUUCGGGCUAGGAUGCUGGCGUAAUGGUUGUAAGCGACCCGUCUUGAAACACGGACCAAGGAGUCUAACAUCUAUGCGAGUGUUUGGGUGGCAAACCCAUACGCGGAAUGAAAGUGAACGUAGGUGAGAACCCCUUUGGGGCGCAUCAUCGACCGAUCCUGAUGUCUUCGGAUGGAUUUGAGUAAGAGCAUAGCUGUUGGGAC
Molecule: ribosomal RNA, 800 nt
Filed under: Erysiphe epigena
Lineage: Eukaryota; Fungi; Ascomycota; Leotiomycetes; Helotiales; Erysiphaceae
Description: eukaryotic LSU rRNA
Rfam family: Eukaryotic large subunit ribosomal RNA
Source: RNAcentral